Molecule: long non-coding RNA, 416 nt
Organism: Cololabis saira (Pacific saury)
Lineage: Eukaryota; Metazoa; Chordata; Actinopteri; Beloniformes; Belonidae
Exons: 3
Source: RefSeq, a predicted model, not a curated record
UUCAGGGAUAAACAGUCAGCUCACCUAUUUUUUUGCGAAAGGAAACAGUGAUGGUUUGUUCUCCAUCACUCCUGAUGGUACGCUUCACAUUUUACACAGCCUAGACAGGGAGGAGGAAUCCUUAUAUAUCAUCACCAUCACUGCUGUCGAUUCAGGAUUGCCACCUUUAACUGGGACUCUGACUUUACACAUUGUUGUGGAUGAUGUUAACGAUAACCACCCAGAGUUUACUGAGGAAGUCUACAACACCAUAGUGUCUGAGGACAGUCCCAUAGGAACAGUCUUUGCAAUGAUAACCGCAUCGGAUGCUGACGAGGGUGCAAGCGGGGAAAUGAGGUAUUUCAUGGAAAACCUUGAUGCACCUUUUGCCAUUGGGGAAACCUCUGGAGAGCUGGUUACUACUGAUAUACUGGACA